UUCGGAGGGGGUUAGCGUUGUUCGGAAUUACUGGGCGUAAAGCGCGCGUAGGCGGACCAGAAAGUUGGGGGUGAAAUCCCGGGGCUCAACCCCGGAACGGCCUCCAAAACUCCUGGUCUUGAGUUCGAGAGAGGUGAGUGGAAUUCCGAGUGUAGAGGUGAAAUUCGUAGAUAUUCGGAGGAACACCAGUGGCGAAGGCGGCUCACUGGCUCGAUACUGACGCUGAGGUGCGAAAGUGUGGGGAGCAAACAGG
This 253-nucleotide ribosomal RNA is filed under the name uncultured bacterium. RNAcentral's name for it is "partial 16S ribosomal RNA". It matches the Rfam family "Bacterial small subunit ribosomal RNA", at positions 524 to 776 of the family's 1533-position model. The record is from RNAcentral.